This is a long non-coding RNA of Triticum aestivum (bread wheat), 4851 nucleotides long. RefSeq lists it as uncharacterized. The transcript is spliced from 3 exons. Lineage: Eukaryota; Viridiplantae; Streptophyta; Magnoliopsida; Poales; Poaceae. The record is from RefSeq and is a predicted model, not a curated record.
UGCAGCCCUAUCCGCAACCCCCUCUAUCAUCGUCUCCCACAAAUCGCCGCCACCGACCAACUCCUAACUCCCACACCUCGGCGCCGGCCCUCCCCUUCCCCUCCUCUUACCUCGCAGCUACGGCAGCUGCCGGAUCCAUCGAAUCCCCCACCGAUCCAUCCCUCUAGCAGCACAUCUCUCUCUCUCGUGUGACCCCUCGUGCCGCGGCCAACGCCGGCCAAUUCCGCCAACGUCCACCACUGCGCAGCAGACUAACGAACUGCUCUCCGACCCCCUCCGUCCGCCAAGAUGGCUGGAUCUGCCGCAACCAGUCACCGGUGCUCGCCCCGCAACACCUCGCCUGUGGCUGGGGUUACAGCCAUGGCGUCGCGUACAUCACGGGCGUGUCUCCGGAGGCGACUCUCCGUCGGAAAAAGCGUCCCCUCACUCCCUCUCCACCUCUUGGAUGGCGCUCCCUAGCUCGGCGCGCUCGCAGGCGUUGGACUGGACGCCGGCGACGCGUCCUCCUCUGUCACGUCUCCGGCGCAGCUAUGCACAUGUGGCGACCUCCUCUGCCUCGGGAAGGCGGUGGCCAACCUUCGCUGCGAGCGCUGCAUCGCCUACAAACCGAGCAGAACAUGGGUGUUCUGGAGCAGAUGCUACUUGGUAGAGCAAGCACAGGCGCCAUGAAAGGGGAAGAAUAAGAGUUCUUGCACAUAACAUGUUUGAUGAAAUACAGGCACCACAAAUUGAACUCAUCUCCAAGCUAUGCUUUAUGAGAGGCUACAGAUUGUUACAUUAUUUUGUCCAGUCCAUGAUGCAAGAUUCAUUCAUUUGUGAUUGUUGCAACAACGAUUAUUGGCCAAAAGCAUGGUUGUGUGUGGUUCCUGCUGCUGUACUGUGGUAUUGGUUUUCUUCCGCCUGCCUGAUGUGGUGAUGCUUUGUUGUGCCUAUUGUUGGCAGAGAUUAACCAAUAUUUGGGAGAUGAGGUGGCUCACCCGAUCGGAAACAGAACAAGAUGAAGGAGCUGAAGUAUAGCCACAACAGGGCGAUCUGGGAGCAAGGAAGUUUACGUGUGAUAGGAGAUGAUCGCCAUAAUCUGGGUGCUAAAGGCCUUUGGAAACAGAACAAGAUGAUGGAGCUUAAGUACAGCCACAUCAGGGCGACCUGGGAGCAAGGAAUUUUACCUGUGAUAGGAGAUGAUCACCAUAAUCUGGGUGCCAAAGGCCUAGGGGAUUAUAACAUGGUUUUUUUUAUAGAAAGGAUGCUCAUGCCGUAGCUUACAGUACCAGGCAACAAUCUUCUGUUGAUUACAGUGCCAAAAACUCCAGUAGGCCGCGGGACUCCUACGCCGCUGGUGCCUGUCAAUGUCGCUGCCGAUGCCCUGCAUCCGAUUGGCUGCCAAGGAAUCCACCAACCCGUCCCAAUACACGUCUGUAUCCCACAUCAUGAGCUCCUCGAAGGUGAGCAGCUGGCCCAGCCUCGCCAUGUAGAACACGGUCUUGGUAGUGGAGAUGUUGUCAUUGUCAUUGCGGUCGAAGGUGUGGAGCAUAGGGCGUGAGCACCGGCAUGAUGGUGUGCGCCAGCUCGUCGAACUCGGAGGCCCGCUGACAUUUGCAUCGAUGGCGAGCAGCAGAAGGACUCCUCACCCGGCGGUCGCAAGCUUAGGGGGGUGGAGCGGGGCAUCGAGCUUGAGAUCUGCUGGCUCCUGUCACGUCAUCACUGACUCAGACCAGAAGAGUUCUGUUGUGUUCGGCGUCGCGCCCUCCACAGCCUGCGAUGGUGAUCACGAUGCCAAUGCAGAACGACGCGCCGACGCCUGUCGCUGCCCUGCAUCCUGCUCCGCGCUGUGACCAGUGCUGCCACCCUGCUCUGUGUUGUGCCCUCGAUAGGCGCCAUCCUUGGACGCCAUCUCUUCCAACCUCUUCUUCCCUUCCGGAUUGAUACCAGCGCCCAGCUUAAAAAAUGAUCCGUGUUGUUGGCACCAUUCCAAACUGAAAUCAAUUACAUACUCAAGGCAGUUCUAGAUGUCUGCAAGUUUGUGAUCUGCAAAUAUUAUAGUCAAAAGGAUUUCAAUUGUGAUAGGCCGUAGCUUCACUUUACAUCCUCAGUUCAGUUCUAGAUCUCUGCAAGUUUGUGAUUUGCAAAUAUUAUAUUAAAAAGGAUUUCAAUUAUGAUAAUCCAUAGAUUUACUAAUCCCACUGUUAUACUAUGUGUGCUCACUGAUGCAUGUGUCUUCAAAUUAUGAUAGGCUCUGUAGCUGGAUCAGGUGAAUCUGUUUUGUCGUGUGAAUACCAGUAAAGUGAAACAGAAGCAGCACACAGGCGCGUCUUCUUGCUUUUUUUUACUUGCCGUAGCUGGAUCAUUAGCUUAAACGCAAAGCAAUCUAGCCUAUUCCUUUCCCCCAUGAUAUCUCUUCUUAAUUUGGUAGAUCAUGUUUUUGCAAGAUGACAGCACCAUAUGUGUAGCUGGAUCAUUAGCUUGAACGCAAAGCAAUCUAGCCUAUUCUUUUCCCCCAUGAUAUCUCUUCUUAAUUUGGUAGAUCGUGUUUUUGCAAGAUGACAACACCAUAUGUGUAGUUGCUGACUGUCUUUAUAUCGCAAAAAUAUUAUGGUUUCAAGCAUCUACCUGUCUCUUAUUAUUAAUGAAGGACCCAGCCUAUUAUUUGAUUUUAAGUUGUUAGAUUCAUCAUAUAGUAUUUAAUAUUGGCAAAUUAAAUUUCGAACGUGACUAUUGAUGUUCUUAGGAAAAAUUUGAAACAUUUGCUGCUGGCAUUUGCCAUUCUAGGAGAGAUUCUAAACUAUUUUAUAUUUGAUUGUAAUAUACAAAAGCCAUAGUGCAGAAUUAAUACGUAAGUAAACAAUAGUCACGUUCCCUUGCUAUAAGAUUACCACGGUGUCCCUUGCUAUAAGAUUACCACGGUGUCGAGGUAUUUUUACCUUUCAUGAGUUAUUACUCGAAACCAGCCCAUCUCACCGUCCCCUCAAAAAAAAAAUCUCCCCGUCUUUUCCUAAUCUACUGCGGACGGUUUUUAUUUUAUACCGGGGGGCGUGCUGCUCGGCGGCGCGGUCUUGACGAUGGCGUGGUCGCUGGGGCAAUUGGGCGGCGUCUGCCUAGGUCUUGGGUGGCGCUGUUGCUGGUGAUCGCGGCGGCGCUCCAGUGCAUGGGUUGGUAUGUGACUGCAUCUCCGCUGUUUGGAUUGAAGUUUGGUUGGGUGUGAGUGCACGGGAGGAGGUGAGCAACCCCAAAUCUAGCGAUUUCCGUUCUAAAAUUCCAAUUAUCUCCCACUUACGUUUCCCUUUGUCAUUCUCUUUCCAAACUGUUUUUUGUGCAUCUGAGCGUUCCGAUCUGCUCGCUCCUGUGCCCCUCGAGGUCCCAAUUUGACUACAAGCCAGUGGAUGGUUCUCCCGAUGGUGGAAUUGAAGGGGCCCCAAUGGAUAAGGAUGUGACAGGCAAGCGGGAGGCCACCACUACCAGCGUCCUCAAGCUCUACCACUAAUCAUUUAUCUAGCACACAUCACCACCUGGGUUAUGUGGGUAUGUCCUAAAAAUAUGUAGUCAACCUUGCCAGCUCAAAUAAUUUUUAUUUGCUUCAAUCCCCAAUCUGGUUCGUAGCAGACAUGCAGUUAGUAGAAUCUUGCCUCCUGGUUGUAGAAUUUUUGGUCGAUUCGUUGGCUGCUUCAUAUUGUUAAACCAUGGAAUAAUUUCUGAUCCUUCGUGGACUGAAUUGUUGGAUUCUUUUCCCCCUUCCUGUCGUUCAUACAUCACCAUUUGUUUCUGAAACCAAGUCAUAUUUGCCGGAUUUCUAAAUUUCAGAGAUUGCAGAUAGUUAUUUCAAGUUUAAAAAUUGGUUGUAAUUUUGGUUCAUCAGUUGUACCAUAUGCAAACACAUAUCUAUGAUUCAUGAAAGUUUUUGUUCUGUCAAUCAGGGUCAUACUCCCUGCAGCUAGUAGCUGCUCUAAACAUUGUUGUAAUGUUACUACUUAAUACUUAAUAAUGAUUGUGGAGGUGCUGCUAACAUUUCCUACUGCAACAACAACAGAGGUAAAAAAUUAUGUGUGGGCUUCAAUGAUGUAAUUGAUUUCUAUUUGCCAUGCGUUAGUGUUUCCUAUCAUCUAGCUUCGGAUUUAAAGUAAAUAUAUAUACUUCCUGUUGGAGUUGAAGUAAGUAUCUCACGUUUGAGCUGCUUGUGUGCCAUUUUUUUUACCUGGGCCCUUAUUUUAAUCUCAGCUGUAGUUAAUGGCAACAAGCACCCACGACGCCCCUAUUUUAUUUACCUGGGCCACUAAUAUUAUUUCAGCUCUAUUUGGUCUUUGGAAAUGGUAUAUCUGGAAAUAAAGAACUAUGCGUGUCAUUCUAUCAUUCUGCAAAUUAGUCAAUUUUGUAGUUUCUUUCUUUUCCUCAGUGAUAUGCCAAUAUGUUUCAGCUCAGCGCAUGGAGUAAUUAGAUGGUCCUUCUCCUGUGAUUUACUAGAUUGUCAGCAAUGAUUCAAAGGUUGCUUAUCCUGAAGUUCAUGAUCCUGCAGGCGAGCAAAGGAUGUGAUAAGCGCAGUUUUGUCUCUGUAGUUUUGUAGACUUCAUUCAUCAUGACGAUUUUAUGGAGUCUGAACAAUGUGUAGCUGCAAUGGAGGUUCCAGGAAGACUUCAAGAUGCUAGGCAUCAACCAUUUUGAGGUCGUUUUAGCAAGACCUAAUGUUUCAGUGCAUAUAGCGCAGUGUAACAUAUCAAGUCAGUUUGUUUCUGUAAUUAUACGGCCUUGUCCAUAUGUUUUACCCCACCAUCAGUAUUUUGCAUGAUGCCCUAGGUAAUUUGUGUUCAGAAAUUUACAUUGUGUAUCUGCAUACUUGGCUGGCAAUAUCAUUACCUGACAGCC